RNAcentral lists this ribosomal RNA (99 nucleotides) under Vibrio metschnikovii. The record is from RNAcentral. Lineage: Bacteria; Pseudomonadati; Pseudomonadota; Gammaproteobacteria; Vibrionales; Vibrionaceae.
UUUGGACCCACCUGACUCCAUGCCGAACUCAGAAGUGAAACGAAACAGCGUCGAUGGUAGUGUGGGGUCUCCCCAUGUGAGAGUAGAACAUCGCCAGGC